GUAAAUGCAUUGAUCGGAAUAAGUAGUUGAAUGUACAAGCUACAGAGAGUGGCCGUUUGGUGAGAGGCGCAGCAACUGGCAUUUGAUGAAUACCUCCGUGAGCAGCUUCCCGGAAACAAUCAGAUGAUUUGUGAACAUUUUUUGAUUGAAAGUAGGGGAAGACGGAAAUCCAACCGUUACAGUGGAAGGGUCUUCAUUUUUAGAUGAAUCCGUAGAGAUUUCAUUUGUAAGGAUGAGUACCUGCUGAGGCAUAAGGCGUGAGUCUUGUGUGAAUAAAGGUGGUAACACGGAACAAUAUCCGUCCUUUGU
This 309-nucleotide non-coding RNA is filed under the name Butyrivibrio fibrisolvens. RNAcentral describes it as "T-box sequence". It matches the Rfam family "T-box leader". From Rfam's summary of the family: Uncharged tRNA acts as the effector for transcription antitermination of genes in the T-box leader family. Lineage: Bacteria; Bacillati; Bacillota; Clostridia; Lachnospirales; Lachnospiraceae. The record is from RNAcentral.